Molecule: non-coding RNA, 590 nt
Organism: Salvelinus sp. IW2-2015
Lineage: Eukaryota; Metazoa; Chordata; Actinopteri; Salmoniformes; Salmonidae
Source: RefSeq, a predicted model, not a curated record
AAACCGGGAGGACUAGCAAAGAGAAAUAGAAAACAGGCGCAAGGAAAACCACUUGUAAACUUGAAACAUACAAGACGUACUGGCCCAGAGAGCCAGGAAACACAGGGAUAAAUACAUAGGAGAAAACAAGCAACACCUGGAGGGGGUGGCGACAAUAACGAGACAGGUGAAACAGAUCAGGGUGUGACAAUAAGAGGUGUCAAUUGAUAGUACUAAGGAAAGUUCACACUCUGAUAGGUGAGAUGCUGUGAAGCUAGCAGGUGGUACAUCCUGUGAAGAAGUUCAUAGAGACACUCAGCACUUCUAAACCCACCAGUCUGAGAAGACAAAGACCCCAUCUCUCUUACACUCUCUCAAACACGUUCUCAGACACGCUCUUUGAAAACAUGGCUGCCACAUCUCUCCUGCUCCUGUUCAUCACACUCUGACCUGCUCCAGGGCUCACAGAACAGCAAAUGGACGUAAGGGAUAUAGACACACAGAAGGUCUUCUUUCUGGUUUUACAAGCCUACCAAGACUCGGGCAUAGUGAAUGUAAAUGGAGCAGAAGCCAGAUGCCACUCCAAACCCUACAUCAGUGUUACUCACUAU